AAGUUGACUAAGCCUCUUCCACGAGCAAAACAUGAUCAACACGAGAACUGUAUGGGUGUUAGAUACAUUAUAAUGUACAUCACAUAGUGAUUAUUGACUCUAGUGCAAGUGAGAAACUGUUGGCAAUAUGCCAUAGAUGCAAUAAUAAAGUGUUUAUUAUUAUAUUUCCUUGUUCAUGAUAAUUGUUUAUUAUCCAUGCUAGAAUUUUAUUAAUUGGAAACUCAAAUACAUGUGUGGGUACAUAGACAAAACUGUGUCCCUAGUGAGCCUCUAAUGGACUAGCUCGUUGAUCAAAUAUGGUCAAGAUUUCUUAGUCAUAGACAUGAGUUGUCAUUUGAUUAUGGGAUCACAUCAUUAGGAUAAUGAUGUGAUGUACAAGACCCAAACUAUGAACGUAGCAUAUUAUCGUGGCAGUUUAUUGCUAUUGUUUUCUACAAGUCAAGUAUUUGUUCCUAUGACCAUGAGAUCAUGCAACUCACGAACACCGGAGGAGUACCUUGUGUGUAUCAAAUGUCACAACUUAACUGGGUGACUAUAAAGAUGCUCUAUAGGUAUCUCCAAGGGUGCUUGUUGAGUUAGCAUGGAUCAAGACUGGGAUUUCUUACUCCGUGUGAGGAAGUGGUAUGCCAGGGCCCACUCGGUAAUACAACAUCACAAUGAGCUUGCAAGCAAUGUGACUAAAGAUUUAGCCACGAGAUCUUGUAUUAUGGAACGAGUAAAGAGACUUGCCGGUAACGAGAUUGAACUAGGUAUGGACAUACCAACGAUCGAAUCUCGGGCAAGUAACAUAUCGAUGAACAAAGGGAACUACGUACGAGAUUAAAUUAAUACUUGACAUCGAGGUUCGACCGAUAAAUUUCAUCGUAGAAUAUGUGGAAAUCAAUAUGGACAUC
This 893-nucleotide long non-coding RNA is filed under the name Hordeum vulgare. RNAcentral describes it as "long non-coding RNA (HVUL_LNC020373)". Lineage: Eukaryota; Viridiplantae; Streptophyta; Magnoliopsida; Poales; Poaceae. The record is from RNAcentral.